RNAcentral lists this ribosomal RNA (440 nucleotides) under uncultured bacterium. RNAcentral describes it as "partial 16S ribosomal RNA". It matches the Rfam family "Bacterial small subunit ribosomal RNA", at positions 338 to 795 of the family's 1533-position model. The record is from RNAcentral.
CCUACGGGUGGCAGCAGUGGGGGAUAUUGCACAAUGGGGGGAACCCUGAUGCAGCGACGCCGCGUGGGUGAAGAAGCGCCUCGGCGCGUAAAGCCCCGUCAGCAGGGAAGAAAAUGACGGUACCUGAAGAAGAAGCCCCGGCUAACGACGUGCCAGCAGCCGCGGUAAUACGUAGGGGGCCAGCGUUAUCCGGAUUUACUGGGUGUAAAGGGGGCGCAGACGGCGGUGCAAGCCAGGAGUGAAAGCCCGGGGGCCAACCCCGGGACUGCUCUUGGAACUGCGGGGCUGGAGUGCAGGAGGGGCAGGCGGAAUGCCUGGUGUAGCGGUGAAAUGCGUAGAUAUCAGGAGGAACACCGGUGGCGAAGGCGGCCUGCUGGACUGCAACUGACGUUGAGGCCCGAAAGCGUGGGGAGCAAACAGGAUUAGAUACCCGAGUAGUC